Molecule: transfer RNA, 58 nt
Filed under: Salmo salar (Atlantic salmon)
Lineage: Eukaryota; Metazoa; Chordata; Actinopteri; Salmoniformes; Salmonidae
Rfam family: tRNA
About the family: Transfer RNA (tRNA) molecules are approximately 80 nucleotides in length. Their secondary structure includes four short double-helical elements and three loops (D, anti-codon, and T loops).
Source: Rfam by way of RNAcentral
UGGCUCAGUUGGUAGAGCGUGGUGUUUGCAACGCCAGGGUUGUGGGUUCGAUUCUCAU